AUUGCAAAAGAUCAAUCAAAAUCACUCCACCCCAAACUGAAUUAGCAGCCACCUACCAGUUCUGGGAAGGAAAGGAGAAGCUGCGUACAUAAAGGCACCUGAGAUUCUUAGACCACUGGAACAUCACCAGGAGAAGGCACCCAAGACAGAAUAAACAUCGCCACCUUGUAAAGGUGAACCCAGCAAGCUGCCAAGAUGUGCAACUUGAAUUUUGUUUGGAACAUAGUGAAAUGUAUGUUUAAGAUAGUAAAGUGGAUUUGUAACAAGGCCAAAGAACGGAUGAAGCGACACAAGCCGGCGAUCGAAAAACCACACAAGCCGGCGAUCGAAAAACCACCCAAGCCAGCGACUGAAAAACCACCCACACCAGUGACUGAAAAACCACCCAAACCAGCAACUGGGAAACCACCCAAACCAGCAACUGAAAAGCAAGACUGAAGAGGGAAUGACGGACCUCCACAGUCCCAUCUUCUCCAACACUGGCAGUAACAUCCCUCUGACUGUCAAGGCACACCAUGUUAUUUUGUUAAUGCAAUAAAGCUUGUUUGGAGCCGAACAUCUGAGUUUAAGGAUUUUAUUUUCAAGCGAAUGAUGUCUAAGAGGCAUUGGAAAAAUGCAUUUUUUAUUUAUUUGCAUUCGCAUAUUGCUAGGAAGUUCUCUCUAUGCCACUCUGUGGGCUUUUGAUGUGCUGAAUUUUAAUUCUCUUCUUUAAACAACACAGCCAAACUAGACAUGGUGGCCUGAGACCCAACUGGGAUAAUUCAAAGGGGAAGUGCAGCUUGUGUUGUAACUGUGACAAUAGAAAGGAGGGAGUCCACGCUUUCCAUGUCCUAA
Molecule: long non-coding RNA, 834 nt
Organism: Podarcis muralis (Common wall lizard)
Lineage: Eukaryota; Metazoa; Chordata; Lepidosauria; Squamata; Lacertidae
Source: RefSeq, a predicted model, not a curated record